AACGAACGCUGGCGGCAUGCCUAACACGUGCAAGUCGAACGAAACCAAGGCUUCGGCCUGAAGUUUAGUGGCGCACGGGUGCGUAACGCGUGGGAAUCUGCCCUUGGGUUCGGAAUAACUCAGAGAAAUUUGAGCUAAUACCGGAUGAUGACGUAAGUCCAAAGAUUUAUCGCCCAAGGAUGAGCCCGCGUAAGAUUAGCUUGUUGGUGAGGUAAAGGCUCACCAAGGCGACGAUCUUUAGCUGGUCUGAGAGGAUGAUCAGCCACACUGGGACUGAGACACGGCCCAGACUCCUACGGGAGGCAGCAGUGGGGAAUAUUGGACAAUGGGCGAAAGCCUGAUCCAGCAAUGCCGCGUGAGUGAUGAAGGCCUUAGGGUUGUAAAGCUCUUUUACCAGGGAUGAUAAUGACAGUACCUGGAGAAUAAGCUCCGGCUAACUCCGUGCCAGCAGCCGCGGUAA
Molecule: ribosomal RNA, 460 nt
Filed under: uncultured bacterium
Lineage: Bacteria
Description: partial 16S ribosomal RNA
Rfam family: Bacterial small subunit ribosomal RNA
Source: RNAcentral